UCACGCUGUUGCUGAGGGGGAGCCGCCUAGCGGGGCAGAUUUCGGCCGGGGGGGAGCUGCGGCCAUGAGGGCACAGGGAGGGGGAUUAUGAUGGGGGGUGGGAUUAAUGAUGGCCAUAGGAACGAUACUGGGGCUUCUUUAGCUCCUGCCUGGAUCCCAGCAGUGCUGAGGGAACAGCCUAGCACAGACUUGGGGGACAAGUGCCCUGAAAAAAGGGGGGUGACCCUUGGUGCCAGUGUUUUAUGCCCCACUGCGGCCUCUGACCAGCCCUUUCCCCAAGAUGGAGGAAAAAAAUGGCAUUUUUUUUUCCAUGGAAAAGCCCAGGACAGGUUGCAGGGCUGGUCCUGGCCUAUAAAGCAGAGAGAAAAAGCAGAAGUGAGUUAGCAGGGUUGGAAGAACAGCAUAAUCCAGGAGGAUUAUGACAAACAGGAGGUUGGUGGCUCCUGGGUGCGACACGAGCGCGUCCCCUCACGCGGCCCAGCUCCGAGCUGCCCUGGAACUGGCUGGAGCUGGCUGAACAGAACAGGAAGCUUUGGUCGGUUAUGAAGCAGGCUCCGUCUGUGAGCUGAUGUGGAAACGUGCCUCGGGUUAAUUAAACUUCAUUAUACCUUUCAGACUGGCUCUGAACUCAUUUUGUAUUGUAUUAAAGAUGGAGUGCACAAAA
Molecule: long non-coding RNA, 664 nt
Organism: Pyrgilauda ruficollis (rufous-necked snowfinch)
Lineage: Eukaryota; Metazoa; Chordata; Aves; Passeriformes; Passeridae
Exons: 2
Source: RefSeq, a predicted model, not a curated record